Molecule: ribosomal RNA, 386 nt
Filed under: uncultured bacterium
Lineage: Bacteria
Description: bacterial SSU rRNA
Rfam family: Bacterial small subunit ribosomal RNA
Source: RNAcentral
AUUGAACGCUGGCGGCAUGCCUUACACAUGCAAGUCGAACGGCAGCACGGACUUCAGUCUGGUGGCGAGUGGCGAACGGGUGAGUAAUGUAUCGGAACGUACCUUUCAGUGGGGGAUAACGUAGCGAAAGUUACGCUAAUACCGCAUAUUCUGUGAGCAGGAAAGCAGGGGAUCGCAAGACCUUGCGCUGAUUGAGCGGCCGAUAUCAGAUUAGCUAGUUGGUGAGGUAAAGGCUCACCAAGGCGACGAUCUGUAGCGGGUCUGAGAGGAUGAUCCGCCACACUGGAACUGAGACACGGUCCAGACUCCUACGGGAGGCAGCAGUGGGGAAUUUUGGACAAUGGGGGCAACCCUGAUCCAGCCAUGCCGCGUGAGUGAAGAAGGCC